Long non-coding RNA from Gambusia affinis (western mosquitofish), 1242 nucleotides. RefSeq lists it as uncharacterized. The transcript is spliced from 3 exons. Lineage: Eukaryota; Metazoa; Chordata; Actinopteri; Cyprinodontiformes; Poeciliidae. The record is from RefSeq and is a predicted model, not a curated record.
GUGGUUGUCUGGGAGCGAAUCUGCAAGAAUUUCAGCAAUACAAUUUGGCUUCAUAAAUCAUGGAGAAUAUAUUUGUAAAACAACUUUUCAAGUCCAAAGUCACUUCAAAGACAGUGGGGACUACAUCAAACUUUUAUGGCCACUUAGAAAGGAAGCAGAAGGAAAGGCGACUGUAGAGAAGGUCAGUUCAGUGAGUAGAUCAUCCGGGGCUGGGCUUCAGUCCAAGAGGAGGGUUCCAACAGGCAUGAUUUAUUCAUCUAGAAGGGCAACUUUAAAUGGCAACAUUGCUCUGAGAAAUCAGCAGCAGCACUGCCACGUCGGAUUGAUGCACCUUCACUCAAACGCAGCAAUGUGAGAAACUGACCAGGUUAUGGUGAACUCUGGUACAGCUAAUCUGCAUCUCAAAGACAAGGAACACUCUUUUGAAGACAGCGUUUUGGACAUGCAGUUUAAGGAAGAGGCCUGACUGGACGGACAUGUUGCUGGAGAGAAGAAUGGAUGAGCAUUUCUGCUUGUGAAAAGGCAAAUGUUUAAAUUAUAAACUGAAAAAUAGCUUUUUCUUACACCCUCUCUGGCACAUCUGACAGGUUCACUUCAGGUCAUCAGGCUUUUUUUUUUUCCUUUCUUCACCUUCGACAAGAAUGCUCAUCAGUAAAGCUGUAACUGUAUUACACAACAGUCGACAGAUGGUCGUCUGAGACGGAUCCCAAACAUUAUUAUUGUAACCAUUUACUUUGGCUGAGCUCCAGACUGGCUGGCCAGUGUUCAUUAUUUCAGAGUUGGGUCACUCAAAUAAUGAACACUUCAGACAUGAGUUUUAUUUGGAAGGUUGUUGCUGGGUUUCUGAUAUUUGUUUGCCGUGGUUGAAUUGUUUUGUCCUGCUUUUCCCUCCCAUUAGGUUCCCCACAGUUGUCCUUGUUUCCUGCUUCUCACACCUCCGUUGUCAGAUCCCGGUUUUGACGUACAGUAAUGUGUCCGACCUGUUGCCUGUUGUUUUUCUGUUGCAGUCGUUUUCACCAUCUUGUUUCCAGCCAAUGUUCGAAUCGCCUGAGAUUCUGUCUGAGUUCUGGGUCCGCGACAAACGCAAUUCAUGACAACUGUGUGAUAAAACGUACCAUGGUUCAAAUGUCUGGGUUUGAGGCAAAUAAUACAAAUAAUAUUCCAUUCUAAACCACGGAUGGUUUUAGCACGUAGCUGCAAAUUGUAAAAGUUGGUGGAAUGAUUUCCCUCCAGAAUGAUUGA